RNAcentral lists this ribosomal RNA (586 nucleotides) under uncultured bacterium. RNAcentral's name for it is "bacterial SSU rRNA". It matches the Rfam family "Bacterial small subunit ribosomal RNA", at positions 338 to 916 of the family's 1533-position model. The record is from RNAcentral.
CCUACGGGAGGCAGCAGUGGGGAAUUUUGGACAAUGGGCGCAAGCCUGAUCCAGCAAUGCCGCGUGAGUGAAGAAGGCCUUCGGGUUGUAAAGCUCUUUUGUCAGGGAAGAAACGGUGGAGGCUAAUAUCCUUUGCUAAUGACGGUACCUGAAGAAUAAGCACCGGCUAACUACGUGCCAGCAGCCGCGGUAAUACGUAGGGUGCAAGCGUUAAUCGGAAUUACUGGGCGUAAAGCGUGCGCAGGCGGUUUUGUAAGUUUGUCGUGAAAUCCCCGGGCUCAACCUGGGAAUGGCGAUGAAGACUGUAAGGCUAGAAUCUGGCAGAGGGGGGUAGAAUUCCACGUGUAGCAGUGAAAUGCGUAGAGAUGUGGAGGAACACCGAUGGCGAAGGCAGCCCCCUGGGUCAAGAUUGACGCUCAUGCACGAAAGCGUGGGGAGCAAACAGGAUUAGAUACCCUGGUAGUCCACGCCCUAAACGAUGUCUACUAGUUGUCGGGUUUUAAUUAACUUGGUAACGCAGCUAACGCGUGAAGUAGACCGCCUGGGGAGUACGGUCGCAAGAUUAAAACUCAAAAGGAAUUGACGG